AAGAAAAAGAAGAGAAAAAAAA
This 22-nucleotide small RNA is filed under the name Arabidopsis thaliana (thale cress). RNAcentral's name for it is "ATSL005820". Lineage: Eukaryota; Viridiplantae; Streptophyta; Magnoliopsida; Brassicales; Brassicaceae. The record is from RNAcentral.